This is a long non-coding RNA of Acanthochromis polyacanthus (spiny chromis), 2330 nucleotides long. RefSeq lists it as uncharacterized. The transcript has 6 exons. Lineage: Eukaryota; Metazoa; Chordata; Actinopteri; Pomacentridae. The record is from RefSeq and is a predicted model, not a curated record.
CUGGACAAAAAUGAUGGUACCUCUAUAAAAGAUUGAAAACUAUUUGACCAGAGUGACAUGAUUAACUCAGGUGUGUCAUUUAAUUGACAUCACAGGUGUUUCCAAACUCAUAAUCAGUCAGUCUGCCUAUUUAAAGGGAGACAAGUAGUCACCCUGCUGUUUGGUGAAAAGGUGUGUACCACACUGAACAUGGACAACAGAAAGCGAAGGAGAGAAUUGUCCCAGGACAUCCGAAAAAAAAUGAUAGACAAACAUCUUAAAGGUAAAGGCUAUAAGACCAUCUCUAAACAGCUUGAAGUUCCUGUGACAACAGUGGCUCAUAUUAUUCAGAAGUUCAAGACCCACGGGACAGUAGCCAACCUCCCUGGACGUGGCCGCAAGAGGAAAAUUGAUGACAAAUUGAAGAGACGGAUCGUUUGAAUUGUAUCCAAAGAGCCCAGAGCAACCUCCAAAGAAAUUAAAGGUGAACUCCAAGGCCAAGGUACAUCAGUGUCAGAUCGCACCAUUCGUCGUUGUUUGAGCCAAAGUGGACUUCAUGGGAGAUGACCAAGGAGGACACCACUGCUGAAAAAAACUCAUAAAAAAGCCAGACUGGAAUUUGCAAAAAUGCAUGUUGACAAGCCACAAAGCUUCUGGGAGAAUGUCCUUUGGACAGAUGAGACCAAACUGGAGCUUUUUGGUAAGGCACAUCAACUCUAUGUUCAUAGACUCAAAAACCAAGCAUACAAAGAAAAGAACACUGUCCCUACGGUGAAACAUGGAGGAGGCUCAGUAAUGUUUUGGGGCUGCUUUGCUGCAUCUGGCACAGGGUGUCUUGAAAGUGUGCAAGGUACGAUGAAAUCUGAAGACUAUCAAGGCAUUCUGGAGAGAAAUGUGCUGCCUAGUGUCAGAAAGCUUGGUCUCAGUCGCAGGUCAUGGGUCUUCCAACAGGACAACGAUCCAAAACACACAGCCAAAAACACCCAAGAAUGGCUGAGAGAAAAGCGUUGGACUAUUCUAAAGUGGCCUUCUAUGAGCCCAGAUCUGAAUCCCAUUGAACAUAUGUGGAAGGAGCUGAAACAUGCCAUUUGGAGAAGACACCCAUCAAACCUGAGACAACUGGAGCUGUUUGCUCAUGAGGAGUGGGCCAAAAUACCUGUUGACAGCUGCAGAACGCUCAUUGACAAAUACAGAAAUCGUUUAAUUGCAGUGAUUGCCUCAAAAGGUUGUGCAACAAAAUAUUAAGUUAUGGGUACCAUCAUUUUUGUCCAGCCCUAUUUCAUUAGUUUGUUUUUUUAAAUAAUUAUGUUAAUCAACAAUUCAAAAGUAAUGGCUGUUUUUGAUUAUUUAAUUUUCAAUAAAUUUUUAUUUAUUGUUACUUUUGUGAGUUUCAAGUGAUUUCAGUGAGAAUUGUGGGUUUUUCCUUCUUUAACUGAGGGGUACCAACAAUUUUGUCCACGUGUGUACAAGUGUUUAGAGAGAGGAGAUCUGUUAGUAAAGGUGUUUAGAGAGGAGAUCUGUUAGUAAAGGUGUUUAGAGAGGAGAUCUGUUAGUAAAGGUGUUUAGAGAGAGGAGAUCUGUUAGUAAAGGUGUUUAGAGAGGAGAUCUGUUAGUAAAGGUGUUUAGAGAGGAGAUCUGUUAGUAAAGGUGUUUAGAGAGGAGAUCUGUUAGUAAAGGUGUUUAGAGAGAGGAGAUCUGUUAGUAAAGGUGUUUAGAGAGGAGAUCUGUUAGUAAAGGUGUUUAGAGAGGAGAUCUGUUAGUAAAGGUGUUUAGAGAGGAGAUCUGUUAGUAAAGGUGUUUAGAGAGGAGAUCUGUUAGUAAAGGUGUUUAGAGAGAGGAGAUCUGUUAGUAAAGGUGUUUAGAGAGGAGAUCUGUUAGUAAAGGUGUUUAGAGAGGAGAUCUGUUAGUAAAGGUGUUUAGAGAGAGGAGAUCUGUUAGUAAAGGUGUUUAGAGAGGAGAUCUGUUAGUAAAGGUGUUUAGAGAGGAGAUCUGUUAGUAAAGGUGUUUAGAGAGGAGAUCUGUUAGUAAAGGUGUUUAGAGAGGAGAUCUGUUAGUAAAGGUGUUUAGAGAGGAGAUCUGUUAGUAAAGGUGUUUAGAGAGGAGAUCUGUUAGUAAAGGUGUUUAGAGAGGAGAUCUGUUAGUAAAGGUGUUUAGAGAGGAGAUCUGUUAGUAAAGGUGUUUAGAGAGGAGAUCUGUUAGUAAAGGUGUUUAGAGAGGAGAUCUGUUAGUAAAGGUGUUUAGAGAGGAGAUCUGUUAGUAAAGGUGUUUAGAGAGGAGAUCUGUUAGUAAAGGUGUUUAGAGAGGAGAUCUGUUAGUAAAGGUGUUUAGAGAGGAGAUCUGUUAGUAAAGGU